AUUAGAGUUUGAUCCUGGCUCAGAUUGAACGCUGGCGGCAGGCUUAACACAUGCAAGUCGAGCGGUAACAGGGGGUGCUUGCACCCCGCUGACGAGCGGCGGACGGGUGAGUAAUGCUUAGGAAUCUGCCCAGUAGUGGGGGAUAGCCCGGGGAAACCCGGAUUAAUACCGCAUACGUCCUACGGGAGAAAGCAGGGGAUCUUCGGACCUUGCGCUAUUGGAUGAGCCUAAGUCGGAUUAGCUAGUUGGUGAGGUAAAGGCUCACCAAGGCCACGAUCCGUAGCUGGUUUGAGAGGAUGAUCAGCCACAUCGGGACUGAGACACGGCCCGAACUCCUACGGGAGGCAGCAGUGGGGAAUAUUGGACAAUGGGGGCAACCCUGAUCCAGCCAUGCCGCGUGUGUGAAGAAGGCUUUCGGGUUGUAAAGCACUUUCAGUGAGGAGGAAAACCUUACGACUAAUACUCGUGAGGCUUGACGUUACUCACAGAAGAAGCACCGGCUAACUCCGUGCCAGCAGCCGCGGUAAUACGGAGGGUGCAAGCGUUAAUCGGAAUUACUGGGCGUAAAGCGCGCGUAGGUGGUUCGAUAAGCGGGAUGUGAAAGCCCCGGGCUUAACCUGGGAACGGCAUUCCGAACUGUCGGGCUAGAGUAUGGUAGAGGGUAGUGGAAUUUCCUGUGUAGCGGUGAAAUGCGUAGAUAUAGGAAGGAACACCAGUGGCGAAGGCGGCUACCUGGACCAAUACUGACACUGAGGUGCGAAAGCGUGGGGAGCAAACAGGAUUAGAUACCCUGGUAGUCCACGCCGUAAACGAUGUCAACUAGCCGUUGGGACUCUUGAAGUCUUAGUGGCGCAGCUAACGCACUAAGUUGACCGCCUGGGGAGUACGGCCGCAAGGUUAAAACUCAAAUGAAUUGACGGGGGCCCGCACAAGCGGUGGAGCAUGUGGUUUAAUUCGACGCAACGCGAAGAACCUUACCUGGCCUUGACAUCCAGAGAACUUUCCAGAGAUGGAUUGGUGCCUUCGGGAACUCUGUGACAGGUGCUGCAUGGCCGUCGUCAGUUCGUGUCGUGAGAUGUUGGGUUAAGUCCCGUAACGAGCGCAACCCCUAUCCCUGGUUGCUAGCAGGUAAAGCUGAGAACUCCAGGGAGACUGCCGGUGACAAACCGGAGGAAGGUGGGGAUGACGUCAGGUCAUCAUGGCCCUUACGGCCAGGGCUACACACGUGCUACAAUGGUGCGUACAGAGGGCUGCAAACUCGCGAGAGUAAGCCAAUCCCUUAAAACGCAUCGUAGUCCGGAUCGGAGUCUGCAACUCGACUCCGUGAAGUCGGAAUCGCUAGUAAUCGCGAAUCAGAAUGUCGCGGUGAAUACGUUCCCGGGCCUUGUACACACCGCCCGUCACACCAUGGGAGUGGAUUGCACCAGAAGUGGUUAGUCUAACCUUCGGGAGGACGAUCACCACGGUGUGGUUCAUGACUGGGGUGAAGUCGUAACAAGGUAACCAAU
RNAcentral lists this ribosomal RNA (1508 nucleotides) under uncultured Marinobacter sp. Its description in RNAcentral is "bacterial SSU rRNA". It matches the Rfam family "Bacterial small subunit ribosomal RNA". The record is from RNAcentral. Lineage: Bacteria; Pseudomonadati; Pseudomonadota; Gammaproteobacteria; Pseudomonadales; Marinobacteraceae.